AAUAGAUACCCAGGUAGUCCACGCCCUAAACGAUGCUCACUAGGUGUUGGGGAAGCGAUUCCUUGGUACCGUAGCUAACGCGUGAAGUGAGCCGCCUGGGGAGUACGGCCGCAAGGUUAAAACUCAAAGGAAUUGACGGGGACCCGCACAAGCGGUGGAUGAUGUGGAUUAAUUCGAUGCAACGCGAACAACCUUACCUACCCUUGACAUGUCCGGAAGCCUGCUGAAAGGUGGGUGUGCUCGAAAGAGAACCGGAACACAGGUGCUGUAUGGCUGUCGUCAGCUCGUGUCGUGAGAUGUUGGGUUAAGUCCCGCAACGAGCGCAACCCUUGUCCCUAGUUGCUACGCAAGGGCACUCUAGGGAGACUGCCGGUGACAAACCGGAGGAAGGUGGGGAUGACGUCAAGUCCUCAUGGCCCUUAUGGGUAGGGCUUCACACGUCAUACAAUGGACGGUACAGAGGGUUGCCAACCCGGCGAGGGGGAGCCAAUCCCAGAAAGCCGUUCGUAGUCCGGAUCGCAGUCUGCAACUCGACUGCGUG
This 541-nucleotide ribosomal RNA is filed under the name uncultured bacterium. RNAcentral describes it as "bacterial SSU rRNA". It matches the Rfam family "Bacterial small subunit ribosomal RNA", at positions 777 to 1322 of the family's 1533-position model. The record is from RNAcentral.